Molecule: unclassified non-coding RNA, 871 nt
Filed under: Hevea brasiliensis (rubber tree)
Lineage: Eukaryota; Viridiplantae; Streptophyta; Magnoliopsida; Malpighiales; Euphorbiaceae
Source: RNAcentral
CCUGAGAUACUCUCCAAAGCAGACAAUAAUUUUUUCCUUGUUGGGGAAUAAGCCUUCUCAUCCCAUUUCUGCUGAGCACUCAGAUCUGUGUGCCAUUCAAGUACUUCCGAAAGAUAGAUUUGUACCAUUUCAUUCUGCAGGUUUCCAGAGAUUCCAUUUUCAUUCAUUGCAAGCAUAAGUUCUAAAUAUCUGCCCUGCAUGCUUGGAGCAUGCUGCUUCAGAUAAGAGUUGACCAAGUCUGCAGGGAUAUUCCCAGACAAGAAAAGCUCAAUAGUUUGCGUUGGACAGCUUUCAAGAACAAGCAUUGAGAACUCCAGGACAAGCAUGGGUUCCGUUCCACAGAGAGGCUUAAGAUAUUCAAUAAUUGAUUCAGGUUUGAACUUUGAGUUAAGCUCAGUUUGUGCUCGGCUUGAUUUUGACUCUUCAACUAAUUGAUGCAAGAGCUUAAGAGAUUCUCGGUGCAUGGAGUUGCACUUAUAAAGUUCCAAUAAAGCAGUAUAAUGAUUCUGUUUUUGAAGAAUCUCCUCACAUAUCUUUAGGUCACAGUAGUUAAGACCUCUAAGUAAUUCUAAAGCUGCCGAAGAUUGUCCAGUAAGAAGAAGAGCUUGAAGUAGUGCCGUAUCCAGUAUUGACGCCAUUUCCCUGGCAACUGAGUUAAUGGAAAUUGUACCACGCCCCUUGUUGGAUUUCUUAGACCUACUUGAGUCAUACGGUCCAAAAUUCUCUCCAACAGCAUCAAAAACAACUUCUUCUGUUCCCUCAGAAGUGGCUUUUUCAAUUAUACUGAAUCUCUUUUUCUGCAAGAACUUAAUGAGAGCCAUGAGAGUAUUAUGGCUCAUUUUCUUGGAUUCAAGGGCAGCAUGCUCAUCAA